UCAUUUAGAGGAAGGAGAAGUCGUAACAAGGUUUCCGUAGGUGAACCUGCGGAAGGAUCAUUGUCGAAACCCGCAAAGCAGACCCGUGAACAUGUUUAAAUACGCUUGCGUUCGCGGUGUUGGAUGCCUCUGUGUCCAGCAUCACGACCUCGACCACCCCAUGUGGCGCAAGUCGCCUGGGCGUGCUAACCACUCGGCGCGGAAAGCGCCAAGGAAAACCAUACCGAACGCCUCUCCGUCCUGGUGCCGUGCGCUGUGCCAAGGACGUGAUGAGCAGCGUCUAUCGAAUAAAUAUAACGACUCUCGGCAACGGAUAUCUCGGCUCUCGCAUCGAUGAAGAACGUAGCGAAAUGCGAUACUUGGUGUGAAUUGCAGAAUCCCGUGAACCAUCGAGUCUUUGAACGCAAGUUGCGCCCGAAGCCAUCUGGCCGAGGGCACGUCUGCCUGGGCGUCACGCGUCUCUUCGCACCCCGCCCAACACAUCUUCUUCCCCACUCAAAAGUGUCGGGAGGCGAUGCAUAAGAAGCGGGGCGCGGAUAUUGGCCUCCCGUUAUCCCUUGGGUAGCGGCCGGCCCAAAUAGUAUACCGUGUCGAUGGAUGUCACAUGAUACGUGGUGGUUGGAUUCUUCAACUUGCGAGCUUAUCAUGUGGGACUGCACCGAGCCACGGGCACGACCCAAUGGCACGAGAUUGCCCUCGAUUGCGACCCCAGGUCAGGCGGGAUCACCCGCUGAGUUUAAGCAUA
Molecule: unclassified non-coding RNA, 745 nt
Filed under: Cornus quinquenervis
Lineage: Eukaryota; Viridiplantae; Streptophyta; Magnoliopsida; Cornales; Cornaceae
Description: partial contains small subunit ribosomal RNA, internal transcribed spacer 1, 5.8S ribosomal RNA, internal transcribed spacer 2, and large subunit ribosomal RNA
Rfam family: 5.8S ribosomal RNA (bases 299-454)
Source: RNAcentral